UACGUAGGGUGCAAGCGUUGUCCGGAAUUAUUGGGCGUAAAGAGCUCGUAGGCGGUCUGUCGCGUCUGCUGUGAAACUCAGGGCUUAACCCUGAGCUUGCAGUGGGUACGGGCAGACUAGAGUGCGGUAGGGGAGACUGGAAUUCCUGGUGUAGCGGUGAAAUGCGCAGAUAUCAGGAGGAACACCGGUGGCGAAGGCGGGUCUCUGGGCCGUAACUGGACGCUGGAGGAGCGAAAGC
Molecule: ribosomal RNA, 238 nt
Filed under: uncultured bacterium
Lineage: Bacteria
Description: partial 16S ribosomal RNA
Rfam family: Bacterial small subunit ribosomal RNA
Source: RNAcentral